This 253-nucleotide ribosomal RNA is filed under the name uncultured bacterium. RNAcentral describes it as "partial 16S ribosomal RNA". It matches the Rfam family "Bacterial small subunit ribosomal RNA", at positions 524 to 776 of the family's 1533-position model. The record is from RNAcentral.
UACGGAGGGUGCGAGCGUUGUCCGGAAUCACUGGGCGUAAAGAGCGUGUAGGCGGCUUGUUAAGUCUUGCGUGAAAUCUCGGGGCUCAACCCCGAGCGGUCGUGAGAAACUGGCAGGCUAGAGUGCGGGAGAGGAGAGUGGAAUUCCUGGUGUAGCGGUGAAAUGCGCAGAUAUCAGGAAGAACACCCGUGGCGAAGGCGGCUCUCUGGAACGCAACUGACGCUGAGACGCGAAAGCGUGGGGAGCAAACAGG